Molecule: microRNA precursor, 84 nt
Filed under: Bombyx mori (domestic silkworm)
Lineage: Eukaryota; Metazoa; Arthropoda; Insecta; Lepidoptera; Bombycidae
Description: mir-2807 microRNA precursor family
Rfam family: mir-2807 microRNA precursor family
Source: Rfam by way of RNAcentral
UUAACUCAAAUUUGUAUGCAGUUGGAACAGCGCCCCUAGCGGCAAACGCAGGUAAACAUUCCAAUUUCAUACAAAUUUAAGUUA